AACGAACGCUGGCAGCGUGGAUUAGGCAUGCAAGUCGAACGGGAUCCGGAAGGUAGCAAUACCGGCCGGUGAGAGUGGCGGAAGGGCGAGGAGCACGUGGACAACCUGUCCCGUGGGUGGGGAUACCGUCCCGAAAGGGGCGUUAAUACCGAAUGGGGCCCCGGACCGCAUGGUCCGGCGGCCAAAGGCGGGGACCGCAAGGCCCGCCCCCCCGGGAGGGGUCCGCGCACCAUCAGCUAGACGGCGGGGUAACGGCCCACCGUGGCGUACGGUUAGCUGGUCUGAGAGGACGACCAGCCGCACUGGGACUGAGACACUGCCCAGACUCCUAUGGGAGGCUGCAGUCGAGGAUCAUUCGCAAUGGGCGAAAGCCUGACGAUGCGACGCUGCGUGGAGGAUGAAGGCCCUCGGGUCGUAAACUCCUGUCAUGGGGGGCGAGGCGGAGGCGGUUAACGGCCGCCCGAGUUGACGGUACCCCAAGAGGAAGCCACGGCUAACUCUGU
This 503-nucleotide ribosomal RNA is filed under the name uncultured bacterium. Its description in RNAcentral is "partial 16S ribosomal RNA". It matches the Rfam family "Bacterial small subunit ribosomal RNA", at positions 28 to 506 of the family's 1533-position model. The record is from RNAcentral.